Molecule: ribosomal RNA, 230 nt
Filed under: uncultured bacterium
Lineage: Bacteria
Description: partial 16S ribosomal RNA
Rfam family: Bacterial small subunit ribosomal RNA
Source: RNAcentral
UGCGUAACGCGUAUGCAACCUACCUUAUACUGAGGGAUAGCCCAGAGAAAUUUGGAUUAAUACCGCAUAGUAUAGUGACUUGGCAUCAGGUUAUUAUUAAAGAUUACGGUAAGAGAUGAGUAUGCGUUCUAUUAGCUAGAUGGUAAGGUAACGGCUUACCAUGGCAACGAUAGAUAGGGGCCCUGAGAGGGGGAUCCCCCACACUGGUACUGAGACACGGACCAGACUCC